AUGAUUUUGUUUUUGGGUAUGAGAUCUGAUGGCCGUGUUUCCCUUUUUUAUGACAAUUUCGCUAAGCCAUACUAUGUAACCAAGAGAUGCUCUUUGCAAGAGGGGUUUCUGCUAUGCUUACCAAGUUCAUAUUGUAUAACUAUAGUAUGCUGUUGCAGAAACUCAAAUUAUUUAGAACAAUGUCCCAGAGCCAUCUCUAAAAUUUAG
Vicia faba (fava bean) is the source of this 207-nucleotide non-coding RNA. Lineage: Eukaryota; Viridiplantae; Streptophyta; Magnoliopsida; Fabales; Fabaceae. The record is from the annotation of a GenBank genome assembly.